Long non-coding RNA from Mya arenaria, 4243 nucleotides. RefSeq lists it as uncharacterized. The transcript is spliced from 5 exons. The record is from RefSeq and is a predicted model, not a curated record. Lineage: Eukaryota; Metazoa; Mollusca; Bivalvia; Myida; Myidae.
UUCUAUACACCUGACUGUCAAAUGUUUGAAUAUGAGACUCUCGUUAAAUUUAAACUACGUAAAUGAUAAUUUGAAACAGGAAGCUCUUUGCCAUUUGAUUUGCGUAAAUCGAUACUUCUACGUGUGUUUAAAACAGUCAAAGAAAAUGGACUACUUUAAGAUAACAUUUCUAUUGCUGAUACUUUUAUUAGAUAUAGGGUUUGACAUCUACGCCAGGAUCAUGUGAACCUAGAUGAUGUUUACGUUAUCGGCUAUAUAACAAGAGGUUAUCAAGGAAUGUUGGAACAAAUUGGAACAAAUACAUGCAUGUGUAAAAUAAGAAGAUUAUGAGGGACCGUACCAUUUAAAAGAAACAGAUGAGUAAACACUGAAUUAUGAUGCAGACGACAAACUGAAUAUUUGCAUUUAUCAGUACGAUGAUAAGAAUAGACUCUCUGAUGUUUUGCGGGUAUCACUUGUGUUAUGAUAAGUGUAAAAGAACGUUGCUUUUCUUUUUAUAAAACUUGUUGUUUAAUUGAAUAGUUAAAAGGAAUUAUAAACCUUCAUAAUGCUGUUUCAGAUGAUGAAACGAGAUUAAAGAUAAGAGCUGGACAAUCAAAUUGUAUCAACGCUAGCUACAUUGAUGCACACCUGUAUUUUCAAAACCUAACGUUUAUAAAGUUUAACUUGCUGAUGUAUAAUCUUGAUUAAACAUAACUUCCUUAUUCAACAAUGGGAAAUCUCGUUACAAGUUUAAACAGCACUCAAGUCGAAGCAACUGGGAUAGUUCCGUAUUUUCUGGUGAAUGAUACGGCAAGAAAAGAUUAAAAUAGUGUACAAUCAUACAAACCUAAUGAGUAAAGAGCAAGAUUUAGUUUCUACAAAGUAUGCCGAGGUCACAUAAAAUGGGUACCAUAUACCAAACGCUGUGGCAGAGCGCAGGCAUUGGAACAACAGAACGGCUUUACAAAAGAGAAGAAAAAAAACAUAUUUAUAUACGACUGAUUAUUAUGCCGUGAUUCCUGAUGUCUUCAAGCAGUGAAGCAUGUCAUUCAACCGUUUUGGAGUGUUUCUUAUAUGGACUCUAUUUCGAAAGAAACACAAGAUAAGAAAUCAGCCAACACAACGAUAUGUUUAUGGGUAUGAUGUAGAAAAAAUAUUGUUUUUGGUCUUUCCAUACAUACCAUUACGUCUGUUUCUACAUAACGAAUUGACGGUCAGCCAAAAAUGGGAUAAAUCGCACGCAAAAAAGUAUUGUGCAUGAAACUGAUAUACAGCAAUCUACUUGUUUUGUUCAGUUUUGAGAUCGGAGGUUAAGAUAUUUCAAUUAGUACAUGCGGACAAUGAAAAAAUAUAAUGAAAUUAUUUGUUUCAUUUGAAGCGCUGAUGUUGGAAGGCAUUGGACUUAUAUUGCACUCGACAACUGGCCAAAGAGGGUAAGGCCGAUGAAGCAAUCGACAAGCAGGGCUGUGUUACAGCAUGAGGCAAAAUGACUCUAUUUGAUUCACACUCUGGUAAUCAAUUUAUUGCGAGUUGCUGUAGAAUAUUGGCAUUGUGACAGGCUGGUGGCAUUGUUAAUUGUAGGACUUUAACAAUGUUUAUUAGAAUGAGAUUAUUCCUUUUCUCACGAACAACCCUGACUCUGUUGCUGGUCGGAAUACUAUCACGAUCCAGCUGAUCUUACUAUUUUCGCACUAGGUCAUUUGCCGCUUUAAUCUUAAUUGUCAUAGAUAUCAGGCGUCUGUUUGACAACGGUAUUGAUAAAACAUACCCGAAUAGUUCGAUCUUUGUUAUUUUAACAUCGUUUUCGAUUUUCAAAAAGCAUCGACGGUUGAAAAAAAUCCGUCACUUUUAGGAUACACAUGCUGUGCGUCACUGUGCUCAUAGAGCUGAAAUCCUAGGUGCACGCUUAACAGAAACAGAAAGGCGACACAGUCUAAACUAUAUUAAUUGUAAAUCACAGUACAAUUAAGCACUGACGAACUGUUCUUUUCAAAAGACAUUCUUUUAUUGACAAUCAAGUAUCUGCAAUUGAGUUGAGACUUCAUCUGAUUUAUCAAUUCGUGGUUUUUGCGUUAAAGCCAACAAAGACGUAAUGACAAAUUUAACGUCGUUAGUCUCAACAAGUAUGUAUCAUUGUGGAUAUCUGUUACGUUUUAAAGGAAAUUAAAGAACUCGAACUAAAGGAGCGCCCAUUUAGAAUCGAGAUGUAUUCAAAUGCAUGUGUGGCAUCCUACUUCCUUGCCAAAUGACGUAGUCAUUACAAAUGUUUUAUAGGUAUAGCUCACAAGUAUAUAAAUCAUUGCAUUGUACUUUUAUCAAACCCUCGAGCUUUUGUCAAUAACAUUUAAAUAAAUAACAAUGAAAGAGAUAGAGAUAUUAUUUAUUUCUUCCGAUAUAAAGAGACAUGAUAUGACAUUUAUAAUCAUAACAUAAUACAAAGAAACAUGUAGAACAAAACUUUACAUAUUAAAUAAAACAGAUAAAACAACGAACAAAUAUAUCAGGUAACAAGGAUAUCUUUAAUUGUAUUAUAACUAUGCAUCUACACAUUAAUUUAUAUAUAGUGAAUAAAGCAUUUUUUAUCAUUUCCCUUACCUUUCUACAUUCUUCGACGUUUUAUUGUUAUCUACUUUAUACAUAUAUAAUCAUUCCAUAUUUAAAAUUUACGGUUUUAGUACAAUAGAACGUAAACGACGAAAAGCGACAGUUAAGGUCUUAAUCACGAGAGUUAUUCAUUUGUUGUAUCUGCAUUCUUGCAUGAUCUUAAUGUUCUUCAGUGCCACUUUAAAAACCUUGACUCAAACUGUGUCCUCUAGGGAUAGCAGCGGAAAACCAGUAAAAUGUUUGAUCCAUUGCUCAUCCGGCUUAAGGUGACUGAAUUCAAGGAAAUCUUUGGCACUAAAACAUUUACACUAAGCUAUCCAUAAAUCUUCUCUAAACGAGCGCGUGAUUUUACAAACUAUUAUCAUGUGUAAAACUAUUUGUUCCGUAACAGUUUCAAAAUCUUGGUAUUUGGAAGCAAACUCCUUUAUUGUUUAUUAUUAAUAUCAUGCAUAGCAGUCCUACGAUGUUUAAGCUGGUCUCUGUACAUGUUACUAAACUGCCACAUAGAACUAGGUUCAUUAUGACAGUGAAUAUACUUAAACAAACGCAACUUCAUAUCGUUUUCUUGUGAUUUUUGUAAUCGAUUACAACAUGAUUAUUGAUAUAUUUAUUUACAGUAGACCUCCAGCUAUCAUGACUCGGGAAAUACAUGUAUAGUUUACAGUUGCCUAAAAUUUUGUAAAUGUCCGGAAUUGAUGUUGAAACUCCAUUGGGUUCACUUUCGAAUUUGCAUAUUGUUUUACUUUGUGUGUGAUCAGUACUUCAUAAUUGUCCGAAAAAUAGUAGGGUUCUUUUGUCCAUAUAUGUUUCUAAUGAGUAGAUUCCAGCACAACUCAGUGCUAAUGUAUAGUUUUUUAUAGCUUGUGAUGUUUAUUUUUCUCUACUGUAGCUAACUUCAAGAACUGUCAAAAAUAUUCAAUUUAAAAAUUAAUUCACGUUUACUGUUUUCUUGUACAAAGGCACCCGACCCCCAUUCAUUACUGAAAUUAAGUUUACUUUGAAUAAGAGUUUUUUUCAGUUUAAACUGGAGGCUUGCGCCAGUGCAGGAAGCGUACGAGUGCCAUGCGUUCAGUUAAGGCUAACGAUCACUUAAGAUAACUUACGUGUGUUAUUUGGUGUCUUGCUUGCAGUAUGUUCUACGAUAUAUCAAGGUUUCACAACAUGUAUUACUUAAGUUAAAUUAGCCUUAUUAGAAGUAUAUACAACAAAAAAAUAUAUUUGUUUCAAAAACUGUAAUAAAAACUAACCUUCAUCCACGUGCACCGUAAUCCAUUCACAAAGUUCAUACUAUGGUAUUUCAUUUAUAAACCGACAAAUUAACAUAUAGAAACUAGAUCGAUAAUUCCUGUACUACUUUUAAAUAACACUCCCCGAAAUAUAUAUGACAAAUUUCAAAUUGUUAUCGUAAAAACCAUGUCUCAACAAGACAUUUUGUUACCAAAGAAGGAUUUUAAAGGCCUUACAAUUUUGUUUCUGUUUUUAUUUAAUUUUUAGCUUUUUUAAAACUGAAUACUUCUUACAAUAUUCCAUAUUGGUGUUAAAAGUAUGUAUACUGUCCUUUGUUUAAUAUUGAUUGUCAUUUUUUAGUUCAUUUGUUCGUCCUUGUAUUUGUGAUUGUCUAAAAAUCGGAUGAACAAUAAACGCCUUUGAUAUGAGA